CCCCCCUCCCGCCCCACAGGUGUGCCCAUUGAUCCACCUCUUGGUCUCCACCGUGGAUGAACAUAUUUUACAUGACAUCAUUGAUAAACUUCCAAAGGACAGCAAACCGCAAGCUGCUGCCUGAAGAGGGGCAUGAGGAGGGUUGCUGUGAUGCCCAACCAAAGCUCAGUUCCCAGUGGCUUGACUGUGCCCCACGUAGCAUCUCCAGCUGGUAAGGUACAGCCACCAUCCAACCAGAGUGACAGCCUAAGUUCAGCCGGAAGGAGCCCUAACAGAUCCUUCUCCUCAUGGUUGGGACAGCAGCCUCUGUGCUCACCGCCCUCCGCCCCCUGCAAUAAAAAAACAAUUUCUGCA
This is a long non-coding RNA of Prionailurus viverrinus (fishing cat), 354 nucleotides long. RefSeq lists it as uncharacterized. The transcript is spliced from 3 exons. The record is from RefSeq and is a predicted model, not a curated record. Lineage: Eukaryota; Metazoa; Chordata; Mammalia; Carnivora; Felidae.